CGGUGCGAUCAUACCAGAACUAAUGCACUGGAUCCCAUCAGAACUCCUCAGUUAAGCGUGCUUGGGCGAGAGUUGUACUAGGAUGGGUGACCUCUUGGGAAGUCCUCGUGUUGCACCUC
RNAcentral lists this ribosomal RNA (119 nucleotides) under Gossypium raimondii (Peruvian cotton). The record is from RNAcentral. Lineage: Eukaryota; Viridiplantae; Streptophyta; Magnoliopsida; Malvales; Malvaceae.